CCUANGGGUGGCUGCAGUAGGGAAUAUUGCACAAUGGACGAAAGUCUGAUGCAGCAACGCCGCGUGCACGAUGAAGGCCUUCGGGUCGUAAAGUGCUUUUCUGAGAGAUGAGAAAGGACAGUAUCUCAGGAAUAAGUCUCGGCUAACUACGUGCCAGCAGCCGCGGUAAAACGUAGGAGGCAAGCGUUAUCCGGAUUUACUGGGCGUAAAGCGCGUGUAGGCGGAUUGGUAAGUUGGAUGUGAAAGCUCCUGGCUCAACUGGGAGAGGUCGUUCAAAACUGCCAGACUAGAGAGUGGUAGAGGAAGGUGGAAUUCCCGGUGUAGUGGUGAAAUGCGUAGAUAUCGGGAGGAACACCAGUGGCGAAAGCGGCCUUCUGGACCAUUUCUGACGCUCAGACGCGAAAGCUAGGGUAGCAAACGGGAUUAGAUACCCUUNUANUC
Molecule: ribosomal RNA, 441 nt
Filed under: uncultured bacterium
Lineage: Bacteria
Description: bacterial SSU rRNA
Rfam family: Bacterial small subunit ribosomal RNA
Source: RNAcentral